GAUGAACGCUGGCGGCGUGCCUAAUACAUGCAAGUCGAGCGAACAGACGAGGAGCUUGCUCCUUUGACGUUAGCGGCGGACGGGUGAGUAACACGUGGAUAACCUACCUAUAAGACUGGGAUAACUUCGGGAAACCGGAGCUAAUACCGGAUAACAUGUUGAACCGCAUGGUUCAACAGUGAAAGACGGUCUUGCUGUCACUUAUAGAUGGAUCCGCGCCGCAUUAGCUAGUUGGUAAGGUAACGGCUUACCAAGGCAACGAUGCGUAGCCGACCUGAGAGGGUGAUCGGCCACACUGGAACUGAGACACGGUCCAGACUCCUACGGGAGGCAGCAGUAGGGAAUCUUCCGCAAUGCGCGAAAGCCUGACGGAGCAACGCCGCGUGAGUGAAGAAGGUCUUCGGAUCGUAAAACUCUGUUAUUAGGGAAGAACAAAUGUGUAAGUAACUAUGCACGUCUUGACGGUACCUAAUCAGAAAGCCACGGCUAACUACGUG
Molecule: ribosomal RNA, 497 nt
Filed under: uncultured bacterium
Lineage: Bacteria
Description: partial 16S ribosomal RNA
Rfam family: Bacterial small subunit ribosomal RNA
Source: RNAcentral